AUCCAAUCAGGGAAGGAAGAACGACCCCUUUCCAAGAAGCUGUACCCAAAUGGACGACAUGGGCUGGUUCUAGCUUAAGCGGAUGGUCCUUCAGCUACCCAAACACCUGGACAAAUAUAGUAUUUUAGAUUAAAACCAAUACCUGGAAUUGUACUCAAGAGCCUAUUGGAAAGGAAAUGGCACUGAGGAAUCGGAGGCAAUGUCUGGAGACUGGCAGUUAUUACAAGCAGGCAAGAUGAUUAUCCAUCAACUGCCAUGGCCACAAGCUACAGUGAGCAGCAUAUCCUUGUGGGAGCUCGGUAGCAACUCAAAGAGGAACAACCACACUGAAGACCACACCUCACCCUAACUAUGGUCAUAUCCAACCUGGAUGGUUAACAGAAGGAAAGUUACAGCAGAUGAAAGCAGCUCUUUUCAAGCUGGAGGUCACAGUAGUGGAAAGCUCCGGAGAGCAACAUUGCAUCAAAGUGGGAAAAGUGAGGGUUCCAGCUUAGGCUGAAGAAAAUUGGUUGCUAUGCUUGUUGUUCGUAGACUCCAUGUAUGUACUUAA
Molecule: non-coding RNA, 550 nt
Organism: Pantherophis guttatus
Lineage: Eukaryota; Metazoa; Chordata; Lepidosauria; Squamata; Colubridae
Source: RefSeq, a predicted model, not a curated record